RNAcentral lists this ribosomal RNA (380 nucleotides) under uncultured eukaryote. RNAcentral describes it as "SSU rRNA". It matches the Rfam family "Eukaryotic small subunit ribosomal RNA", at positions 587 to 972 of the family's 1831-position model. The record is from RNAcentral.
AGCUCCAAUAGCGUAUAUUAAUGUUGUUGCAGUUAAAAAGCUCGUAGUUGGAUUUGUGGUUCGAUCCAGUGGCCUGGCCUAUGGGCUUUGGCUGUUUGGAUCGUCCAUCCUUGGGUGGAAUCUGUGUGGCAUUAGGUUGUCGCGCAGGGGAUGCCCAUCGUUUACUGUGAAAAAAUUAGAGUGUUCAAAGCAGGCUUAUGCCGUUGAAUAUAUUAGCAUGGAAUAAUGAUAUAGGACCUUGGUACUAUUUUGUUGGUUUGCGCACUGAGGUAAUGAUUAAUAGGGACAGUUGGGGGUAUUCGUAUUUCAUUGUCAGAGGUGAAAUUCUUGGAUUUUUGGAAGACGAACUACUGCGAAAGCAUUUACCAAGGAUGUUUUCA